AGAGUUUGAUCAUGGCUCAGAACGUACGCUGGCGGCACGCCUAACACAUGCAAGUCGAACGAAGUAGCAAUACUUAGUGGCAGACGGGUGAGUAACAUGUGGGUAUCUGCCCUUUGGCCUGGAAUAACACGAGGAAACUUGUGCUAAUACCGGAUAAGUCUUUACGGAGAAAGCUUUAUGCACCAUUGGAUGAGCCCGCACUUGAUUAGUUUGUUGGUGGGGUAAUGGCCUACCAAGACUGUGAUCAAUAGCUGAUUUGAGAGGAUGAUCAGCCACAUUGGGACUGAGACACGGCCCAAACUCCUACGGGAGGCAGCAGUGGGGAAUCUUGCACAAUGGAGGAAACUCUGAUGCAGCGAUGCCGCGUGAGUGAAGAAGGCCCUUGGGUUGUAAAGCUCUUUCGUCGGGGAAGAAAAUGACUGUACCCGAAUAAGAAGGUCCGGCUAACUUCGUGCCAGCAGCCGCGGUAAUACGAAGGGACCUAGCGUAGUUCGGAAUUACUGGGCUUAAAGAGUUCGUAGGUGGUUGAAAAAGUUAGUGGUGAAAUCCCAGAGCUUAACUCUGGAACUGCCAUUAAAACUUUUCAGCUAGAGUAUGAUAGAGGAAAGCAGAAUUUCUAGUGUAGAGGUGAAAUUCGUAGAUAUUAGAAAGAAUACCAAUUGCGAAGGCAGCUUUCUGGAUCAUUACUGACACUGAGGAACGAAAGCAUGGGUAGCGAAGAGGAUUAGAUACCCUCGUAGUCCAUGCCGUAAACGAUGUGUGUUAGACGUUGGAAAUUUAUUUUCAGUGUCGCAGCGAAAGCGAUAAACACACCGCCUGGGGAGUACGACCGCAAGGUUAAAACUCAAAUGAAUUGACGGGGACCCGCACAAGUAGUGGAGCAUGUGGUUUAAUUCGAAGAUACGCGCAGAACCUUACCAACACUUGACAUGUUCGUCGCGACUCUAAGAGAUUAGAGUUUUCGGUUCGGCCGGACGAAACACAGGUGCUGCAUGGCUGUCGUCAGCUCGUGUCGUGAGAUGUUGGGUUAAGUCCCGCAACGAGCGCAACCCUCACUUUUAGUUGCCAUCAUUAAGUUGGGCACUCUGAAAGAACUGCCAGUGAUAAGCUGGAGGAAGGUGGGGAUGACGUCAAGUCCUCAUGGCCCUUACGUGUUGGGCUACACACGUGCUACAAUGGUAUCUACAACAGGAAGCAAGACUGCGAGGUCAAGCGAAUCCUUAAAAGAUACCUCAGUUCGGAUUGCACUCUGCAACUCGAGUGCAUGAAGCUGGAAUUACUAGUAAUCGUGGAUCAGCGUGCCACGGUGAAUGCGUUCCCGGGUCUUGUACACACCGCCCGUCACACCAUGGGAGUUGGUUCUACC
RNAcentral lists this ribosomal RNA (1366 nucleotides) under uncultured bacterium. RNAcentral's name for it is "bacterial SSU rRNA". It matches the Rfam family "Bacterial small subunit ribosomal RNA". The record is from RNAcentral.